This 66-nucleotide transfer RNA is filed under the name Rossia sp. GS-2021. RNAcentral's name for it is "tRNA-Gly". Lineage: Eukaryota; Metazoa; Mollusca; Cephalopoda; Sepiida; Sepiolidae. The record is from RNAcentral.
AUUUUAUUAGUAUAAUUAGUAUAUUUGUUUUCCAAACAAAUGGUUUAAGAAUCUUUAAAUAAAAUA